Molecule: ribosomal RNA, 255 nt
Filed under: Triticum aestivum (bread wheat)
Lineage: Eukaryota; Viridiplantae; Streptophyta; Magnoliopsida; Poales; Poaceae
Description: partial small subunit ribosomal RNA
Source: RNAcentral
AUGGUUAGACUGAAAGAGUCAACCAGCAAAUUGAAUGCUACCUCAGAAGUUUUAUCAGUUCUCACCCCUCCAAAUGGAGCAAAUGAUUGUCCCUGUGUGAGUUUUGGUAUAAUAAAAAUUGGCAUUCAGCUAUGGGCAAGUCUCCCUUUGAGGUACUUUAUGGGCACCCUCCUAGAUACUUUGGGAUUGCUACUAGUGAUAUUGUUGCCCAUGUGGAUAUUAUUCAGUGGCUGCAAGACAGGGAGGUUGUGGUAG